CUAACCGUUGGNCGUAACAAGGUGAACCGUAAACUUUAACCCGCGGACCGCUGUAGUAACUCGUGGGCAACCUGCCUGUAAGACUGGGAUAACUUCGGGAAACCGAAGCUAAUACCGGAUAGGAUCUUCUCCUUCAUGGGAGAUGAUUGAAAGAUGGUUUCGGCUAUCACUUACAGAUGGGCCCGCGGUGCAUUAGCUAGUUGGUGAGGUAACGGCUCACCAAGGCAACGAUGCAUAGCCGACCUGAGAGGGUGAUCGGCCACACUGGGACUGAGACACGGCCCAGACUCCUACGGGAGGCAGCAGUAGGGAAUCUUCCGCAAUGGACGAAAGUCUGACGGAGCAACGCCGCGUGAGUGAUGAAGGCUUUCGGGUCGUAAAACUCUGUUGUUAGGGAAGAACAAGUACGAGAGUAACUGCUUGUACCUUGACGGUACCUAACCAAGAAAGCCACGGCUAACUACGUGCCAGCAGCCGCGGUAAUACGUAAGUGGCAAGCGUUAUCCGGAAAUUAUUGGGCGUAAAGCGCGCGCAGCGGGUUCUUAA
RNAcentral lists this ribosomal RNA (546 nucleotides) under Priestia megaterium. Its description in RNAcentral is "bacterial SSU rRNA". It matches the Rfam family "Bacterial small subunit ribosomal RNA", at positions 58 to 585 of the family's 1533-position model. The record is from RNAcentral. Lineage: Bacteria; Bacillati; Bacillota; Bacilli; Caryophanales; Bacillaceae.